This 83-nucleotide transfer RNA is filed under the name Candidatus Carsonella ruddii (Diaphorina cf. continua). RNAcentral describes it as "tRNA-Tyr". It matches the Rfam family "tRNA". Rfam says of the family: Transfer RNA (tRNA) molecules are approximately 80 nucleotides in length. Their secondary structure includes four short double-helical elements and three loops (D, anti-codon, and T loops). The record is from RNAcentral. Lineage: Bacteria; Pseudomonadati; Pseudomonadota; Gammaproteobacteria; Oceanospirillales; Halomonadaceae.
UGAAGAGAUUUCUGAGUGGACAAAAGAAACAGAUUGUAAAUCUGCUGCGAAAGCUUCAGAGGUUCGAAUCCUCUUCUCUUCAA